UUAAAUUGAAGAGUUUGAUCAUGGCUCAGAUUGAACGCUGGCGGCAGGCCUAACACAUGCAAGUCGAACGGUAACAGGAAGCAGCUUGCUGCUUUGCUGACGAGUGGCGGACGGGUGAGUAAUGUCUGGGAAACUGCCUGAUGGAGGGGGAUAACUACUGGAAACGGUGGCUAAUACCGCAUAACGUCGCAAGACCAAAGAGGGGGACCUUCGGGCCUCUUGCCAUCAGAUGUGCCCAGAUGGGAUUA
This 248-nucleotide ribosomal RNA is filed under the name Salmonella enterica subsp. enterica serovar Kentucky. RNAcentral's name for it is "partial 16S ribosomal RNA". It matches the Rfam family "Bacterial small subunit ribosomal RNA", at positions 1 to 243 of the family's 1533-position model. The record is from RNAcentral. Lineage: Bacteria; Pseudomonadati; Pseudomonadota; Gammaproteobacteria; Enterobacterales; Enterobacteriaceae.